CGAACGGGUGAGUAAUACAUCGGAACGUGUCCGCUCGUGGGGGGACAACCAGCCGAAAGGUUGGCUAAUACCGCAUGAGUUCUACGGAAGAAAGAGGGGGACCCGCAAGGGCCUCUCGCGAGCGGAGCGGCCGAUGACUGAUUAGCCUGUUGGUGAGGUAACGGCUCACCAAAGCAACGAUCAGUAGCUGGUCUGAGAGGACGACCAGCCACACUGGGACUGAGACACGGCCCAGACUCCUACGGGAGGCAGCAG
This 255-nucleotide ribosomal RNA is filed under the name uncultured bacterium. RNAcentral describes it as "partial 16S ribosomal RNA". It matches the Rfam family "Bacterial small subunit ribosomal RNA", at positions 99 to 354 of the family's 1533-position model. The record is from RNAcentral.